This 251-nucleotide ribosomal RNA is filed under the name uncultured prokaryote. RNAcentral's name for it is "partial 16S rRNA". It matches the Rfam family "Bacterial small subunit ribosomal RNA", at positions 525 to 775 of the family's 1533-position model. The record is from RNAcentral.
ACGGAGGGUGCAAGCGUUGUUCGGAAUCACUGGGCGUAAAGGGCGCGCAGGCGGUUUGGUAAGUCAGAUGUGUACGCCCCAGGCUGAACCGUGGAAGUGCAUUUGAAACUGUCAGACUUGAGUACCAGAGGGGAAAGUGGAAUUCCCGGUGUAGAGGUGAAAUUCGUAGAUAUCGGGAGGAAGACCGGUGGCGAAGGCGACUUUCUGGCUGAGUACUGACGCUGAGGCGCGAAAGCGUGGGGAGCAAACAG